UACAGAGGGGGCAAGCGUUAUUCGGAAUUAUUGGGCGUAAAGGGCGCGUAGGCGGCGAUUCAAGUGACGGUUGAAAUCCCUCGGCUUAACCGAGGAACUGCCUGUCAGACUGGAUUGCUUGAGGCCGGGAGAGGCGAGUGGAAUUCCCAGUGUAGCGGUGAAAUGCGUAGAUAUUGGGAAGAACACCGGUGGCGAAGGCGGCUCUCUGGACCGAGACUGACGCUGAGGCGCGAAAGCGUGGGGAGCAAACAGG
RNAcentral lists this ribosomal RNA (253 nucleotides) under uncultured bacterium. RNAcentral's name for it is "partial 16S ribosomal RNA". It matches the Rfam family "Bacterial small subunit ribosomal RNA", at positions 524 to 776 of the family's 1533-position model. The record is from RNAcentral.